Molecule: long non-coding RNA, 433 nt
Filed under: Ananas comosus (pineapple)
Lineage: Eukaryota; Viridiplantae; Streptophyta; Magnoliopsida; Poales; Bromeliaceae
Description: long non-coding RNA (ACOM_LNC005955)
Source: RNAcentral
AUAAGCCCCUUCAGGCUUAAAAGCUUAUGAUAUUUAAAAGGGUUAAUUUCGUACAGAUCUCUAUAAAUAUAGUGAAUUGCUAAAACAUUUCUACAAAGUUCACCUUUCAUAUGUUGUGCCUACAACAUUUCUGAUGUUUUCAAAUAUGUUCCUACCGUUAGAAUUCAUUAGAAAAAAUUAGUUAACCGUAGAUAAAAUACUUAACCAUAUUUAGUUAAUGAUCGGAAUUGAUAUUUUUACCCCUCUUCAAUUUAUAGCUGGAAUUUUUGAAUAAAUAUAUUUGUGAUGGCAAAAAUAUUAUUUUAUUUAUGAAAUAAAUGGUAUUUUAAAGGUAAUAAAUCAGACGAAUAUAUUUAAAAAUGUUAAAAUUUUGGAUGGAGAUUAUCUUUUUUCUCUCUCCUCUUCCAUUUCCCAGAUCCCUUCUCACUCUCUU